UAUAAAGUGAGCACUGUACACUUUGUAUUCUGUUAUUGAAAUCACUCUAUUUGAAAAUGUAGAAAACAUCCAAAAAUAUUUAAAUAAAUGGUAUUCUAUUAUUGUUUAACAGCAUAAUUAAUUUUUUGAUCGCUUGACAGGCCUACUUUAGACAUUUUCCUAUUUUAGAAGUCUUUAGAGCUGCUACUUGGAGCUCUAUAUGUACAUUUACAAAACAUUACUCCCUAGACCUCGUGUCCAAAUCAGGCCCUCAGUUUGCUAGAGCAAUAAUUCAAACCUUACUCAGUCAGGACUCUGAGCUCUACCUUCUUUACAUAAGGUACUGCUUAUCAAACUAUCCCACGAGUGGCAGUAAACAAAAGAGAGGAGGAAUUAAGGGUACUUACCUGUAAUCAGAAUUUUUCAAGAUGGACUCUGCACAUUCAUGCUGCCAACCCAGUCUUCCCUUCUUCCUCAUAGUCCUAAUGAAAUCCUAGGCCUGAGAAAAGAGUGGAAGGAACAAAAGCAACCAGGAGUGCCACAUACCCCUUUUAUAACCUUGCCGUCACAAUUUUCAGGGAGACGGCAGAGUAGGGAGGGGCACGAGUGCUCCCAUAGGCAUUGCUGUGAGAAAAUUUCACUGUCAGAGCUGCAUGUGCUGGCACAUCCAAUGAGUGGGAAUAUGCAGAGUCCUUUUCAAUGAACUCCAGUUGUAGGUAAGUAAACUUCAUUUUCUGGAACUCUGCUUUCAAAAUAUAUCCAAGCACUUUGAUGGGGCUUACAGUUUUGCAGCAGAAUAUUUCUUAAAUAUAUGGUAGUUCAUAAUGUUGCCAUGUCUUGAUCUCAAGAAAGCUGCUACAUCAUCUGGGGAAAAGGCCUAAUUGCAGUCAGGUUGAGGGUGAUGACAGAAAGACUGCUAUCAUAGGAUGAAGAGGUUGGCAAAUGCUUAUCUCAGUUGUCUGAACUUCUCUGCUAUAAGGAGGAAAGAGAAGAGUAGGAACUUUAAGAGUGAGUUCCAGAAUAGGUAAAAUUUCCUGAACAAUGUUUAUAUGAAAUUGCUUGUUUCACCCCUUCAGUUUAAAUCUAGCUUAGUUAUUUUUUAAAAUAAUUUCAGCAAAAUCUGUUCAUGGAAAAGAUGACAUAGUUUAGUUAAUUUGCCAUGGAACUAGAAGUUAGUAAUUGAUGUGUUCCAAUCCCAGCUUUGCCAUUGUCUUUUUGUGUGGCUUGGGUAAGUAAUGACAUCUCUUUCCUCACCCAUAUAAUAAUGUCUUACCUGCCAAACAUGGUAUCGUGAGGCUUAAUUACAUAAUGUUUGCAUGCUGUUUUGAAGCUGUAAUGCACUAUGUAAAUGCUAGAGAUUAUCAAUAAAUGGAUUCUUUAAA
This is a long non-coding RNA of Chelonia mydas (Green sea turtle), 1361 nucleotides long. RefSeq lists it as uncharacterized. Lineage: Eukaryota; Metazoa; Chordata; Testudines; Cheloniidae. The record is from RefSeq and is a predicted model, not a curated record. The transcript has 2 exons.